Molecule: long non-coding RNA, 649 nt
Filed under: Pongo abelii (Sumatran orangutan)
Lineage: Eukaryota; Metazoa; Chordata; Mammalia; Primates; Hominidae
Description: lincRNA
Source: RNAcentral
CAUGCUUGCUUGAGUACUGCUCUUAGAUGAUAUAAAAACAAAUCAAAUUCCCAAACCAAAAAGCUGCACUCUUUUGUCUGGGUAAAUACAGCCAUGACAUGUUUAUUUCCAUGGUUUAGAAUAUCACCAGUGGGAAUCUACUGUGGAAAAUUGAGUACAACACUAUCAUCAUAUGAUUUGUUUUGCUCAUAUUUGGAUGUGCCAUUGGCUGCGGAGCCAGACAGUGAACUCCACACAAUGAGGAGCCUGCGAAAACGCAGAGAAGGCAAGAAAGGAUCCAAACAUUUAGGCAGCAUCAGAUGGGUAGCUGGCUUGUGGUUGACCUGGCCUUUGGUUAGAUAACUGUGCCUGAUCCUUAUGGCCAGGAAGGAAGACAGUGCUAAUGAAAAUGAAGAUCUGUACAACAAAAGUACAGGCCUACCUCAGAGAUAUUGGAGUGUUCAGUUCCAGACCAUGCAAUAAAGUGAAUAUCACAAUGAAGAGCUGAAGAAUUCACAUUUGGGCUGAUGGGCCUGGGGUAGGGAUGACCAACAGACCACAUGCUUCUUGUCUCUUCUACUCCCUGAUACUGUGAUAGACAGGGCUAAGUGAUCAUCCACUCCCCCCACCCUCCAGCCUCUGAGUGGGCCACUUUUCUAGCAUGGAAUUC